UUUGAAUAUUAAUUAUACUCCAUAUUUGGGUGAGAUUUUUCUGAACAGGUAUUUUAUCAUGGUGUUCCUCUGGCAUUAACCUGUCCUCAGCAGUAAUUUCCAGUACAAGAAGUUCUUGAAGAUCAUUGGCCAUUACCAUGGAUUCUUUGUGACCUGGAAAAUUGUUCCGCAUGUUCUUGGAGGGAUUUUAGUUAAACAUCCUGCACUGUGACUAUUACUAAUGAUUUGGAAAUUUCUUCAUAUACACUGUUUCCCUGAAUAUAAAGUCACACCAUCAUUAGCAAGCGAGUGUAAAGAAUGUAUUUUGGGACAUGUACAGUUUGCAUUGGUUUUAGAACGAGUGGUCAUAUUAAACUCUCAGCUGAUUUAUAUCUCAUUGAUUGGAACAUCUUAAAACGUAUUACUAGCUAUGAAAUGUUGGAUCUCUGUAUUUAAAAAAAAAUAUCCAAUAUAGCUGAGCUGGAAAAAUAAUCCCUAUUUAAGAGUUAUUUUUAUUUAUUUUUCUUACAGCAAAAGUGUUUAGAAAUGGAAC
Pelobates cultripes (western spadefoot toad) is the source of this 532-nucleotide non-coding RNA. Lineage: Eukaryota; Metazoa; Chordata; Amphibia; Anura; Pelobatidae. The record is from the annotation of a GenBank genome assembly.